Molecule: long non-coding RNA, 428 nt
Organism: Tripterygium wilfordii
Lineage: Eukaryota; Viridiplantae; Streptophyta; Magnoliopsida; Celastrales; Celastraceae
Exons: 2
Source: RefSeq, a predicted model, not a curated record
AGAGACAAACAUAUGCCCAAGCAUUUUGAGCUUGUUGGCCCAUGAUCAUAAAGUCUAAGUUCUCUAUUACUCUGUUCUCAGUAUGCGGAAGUACUACGCUAGGCAUAAACAGAGGAUUGAUCUUUGCAAAUUAGUUGUUUCUGCUAAACCCUGCUUCAACAUCUUCGCUAGCCAUGGUACUGCCACCACUAGUUGCCUCACUUUGCGGCAGUAACAGUGCCAAUUCAUGGUCAUGGAAUGGCUUUUGUAUGUCCCUGGAACCAUGACAUACAGACUGUGUGGCAGUAAAGCUAUGACAAGUAUGUUCGUCUUUCCAGUUCCUGCAUAGAAGAACAAUUUUCAGGUUAUUUCUUUUGCUAUAAGGAGUCUACUCCUUUUGAUUGUUUUAAUUUGUUAAUGUCCAAGAUAUGGUUUGCUCUUGAUGUGUA